UCGUGAUUUUACGAGCCCAAGCCGCCCAAGAGCCGAGUUGACGAGUGGUUCGGCCCUUUUGACAUCCCUAUUGCAGGCAUCGGGAGGCUUCAAAUUUCUCUGGAGAAGAGGAGGUUGUCAUCAUCAUCAUCGAUUUCAUAGGAGCGGUAUGGCCCUUCAGAGCCUUCCCCCUCUGAUGCAUUUUGGGGAGGUAGAAGUGCCUCUUCUCUACUACCCCAAUCCACUAGGUUUCUCCUCUCCCGCUUAUUUUUAGGCAGAGGUGGUACUUGUUCUUACUCCUAUUCUUGUCAGACUGAUCUUUGUAUGGAGCGGACCCUAUUGCUAGGGUUCUGCCUUAUUCUGUCGAAUACACUGAUAGACCUUUGGGGUUCGUAUUCUGGUGGGAAGUUCUAUCCUAGUGGUGAUUCUGCUGGUUGGCUUCCUUGCACGUAGGAUGUCAUAUCCAUACCCACUUUUCUUUCAAGAAGGUGUUCCACUAUUUCCAAUGCUCGCUCGAAUGGCCUCAGCCAUGAGGUGCAGGAAUUUCUUGAGCUGGAUAUGAUCUUUGAGGCAUCUGGAAGCCCUGAUGACCUCGGGCCUGCAUGAAAAAUUCACGUAUCACCACAUUCUGAGCAGCAAUGUCCCUCAUUCCGGCAACUAUUUUAGCCAUUCCUUCAGUGAGUGUUGUUGCCCUGUUGCCUCGGUGACGUCGGUGAUGGGGUCUCUGAUGCGUGACAUUAUUCCUGAUUACCUCUUCUUCAGAGGCAUCUCUGUGCCCUUCAAAAUUUGCAUUUUCA
Molecule: long non-coding RNA, 776 nt
Filed under: Olea europaea subsp. europaea
Lineage: Eukaryota; Viridiplantae; Streptophyta; Magnoliopsida; Lamiales; Oleaceae
Source: RNAcentral